GAUCUGAACCCUGUGGGUUCAGUGGCGAGCCAAUCCCAAGAGAGUGACUGUAGACGGACCAGAGUACGGUGUGGCCAGCCGUGGGAUCCAUCUUCAGCGAACCUCAGGACUAUCACUACAUCCCUUGACACAGAUAAGACUGACACUUUAAAAAUCUACCCGGGUAGUGUUAGAACCAGUGGACAGAAACACACACACACAAACAGAAACACACACACACAAGGAACUCUAAUUUCUCUUUCCAAAGAGAAGUGGACUGAGCAACAGGAGCGGAAGCUCUUUAAUUGAAACUCUUUGGAGAACUUCCUUAAAGAGGAUAUUUGGUUUUGAUUUAAUUUUGGGUCCUUUAAUGUGCGUUUGUGCACUGUAGGAAGCCGGCUUUAGACAGGCAGGGUUUGUAAACUUACAACUUUUCAAUACAGUCUCUAUUUAAACCAUAUCUUAUCUGUCCUUGUGUGGUUCCUUCUCUGCUGAUCCUUUCAAGGCUCCAUAGUCGUACUUAGAACCUUCUGAUACUAGUCCAAAGUUGUCAAGACAAUAAUUUAAUACCUAUCUCAUAUUAUUUAAUUGUAAUACCUGUUACACACACAUAAUGAAGCAGUUCCUUUUAAUUUGUAGAUUCAAGCUGCUCUUCAUAUUUUUGGCCACCAGAUGUCACCAAAGAGGACUGUGUUGAAAAGCUUUGAGCAAUAAACCUUUUUCAAUACAAGCUUCAGUGCUUCAGAAAGCUUCAUUUGGCCAUCACUAUCCGAAACUCAACUUUUGAGACUUCUGAGAGGAUUGGAAGUUUGUAGAUUGGUCAGUAGUUUUUUUGGUAAGGUGGGUUCUAGGUUAUUGUUCUUCAUCAGAGGUCCAACUGCCUGCUUGAAGAGAGCUGAACCAGUACUGAAAGACAGAACUGUUGAUGAUUGAGAGAAUGCUUGGACCAGUGUCUAGUGGAUAGGUUGUGGAUUUAAUGAAAGAAGAAUAGGAUAAUGUGGUUUGAAAACAGAUCAGAAGAAAGAAUCAGUUAAAAUGUGAGGGGAGGUAGUAAUACUACUCCUAAUAUUCUGAAUUUUACUAGUAAAACUCUUCACAUUUGUCAGCAGAGGCAUCCUAAAAAGGCACUGGAGGAGGUAGAGAUAACAGAGUUGGUGG
This 1137-nucleotide long non-coding RNA is filed under the name Oreochromis niloticus (Nile tilapia). RNAcentral describes it as "lncRNA (ENSONIG00000040264.1)". Lineage: Eukaryota; Metazoa; Chordata; Actinopteri; Cichliformes; Cichlidae. The record is from RNAcentral.